AGUGAACGCUGGCGGUAGGCCUAACACAUGCAAGUCGAACGGCAGCACAGUAAGAGCUUGCUCUUACGGGUGGCGAGUGGCGGACGGGUGAGGAAUACAUCGGAAUCUACUUUUUCGUGGGGGAUAACGUAGGGAAACUUACGCUAAUACCGCAUACGACCUACGGGUGAAAGCAGGGGAUCUUCGGACCUUGCGCGAUUGAAUGAGCCGAUGUCGAAUUAGCUAGUUGGCGGGGUAAAGGCCCACCAAGUCGACGAUCCGUAGCUGGUGUGAGAGGAUGAUCGGCCACACUGGAACUGGGACACGGUCCAGACUCCUACGGGAGGCAGCAGUGGGGAAUAUUGGACAAUGGGCGCAAGCCUGGUCCAGCCAUACCGCGUGGGUGAAGAAGGCCUUCGGGUUGUAAAGCCCUUUUGUUGGGAAAGAAAAGCAGCAGGUUAAUACCCCGCUGUUCUGACGGUACCCAAAGAAUAAGCACCGGCUAACUUCGUG
This 492-nucleotide ribosomal RNA is filed under the name uncultured bacterium. Its description in RNAcentral is "partial 16S ribosomal RNA". It matches the Rfam family "Bacterial small subunit ribosomal RNA", at positions 29 to 507 of the family's 1533-position model. The record is from RNAcentral.